This 406-nucleotide ribosomal RNA is filed under the name uncultured bacterium. Its description in RNAcentral is "partial 16S ribosomal RNA". It matches the Rfam family "Bacterial small subunit ribosomal RNA", at positions 30 to 526 of the family's 1533-position model. The record is from RNAcentral.
AUUGAACGCUAGCGGCAGGCUUAACACAUGCAAGUCGAGCGAGCGGCGGACGUGUGAGUAAUGUAUCGGAAAGUGCCUGAUGGCGGGGGAUAACUACUGGAAAAGGUAGCUAAUACCGCAUACCAUCAGAUGUGCCCAGAUGGGAUUAGCUAGGUGGUGGGGUAAUGGCUCACUAAGGCGACGAACCGUAGCUGGUUUGAGAGGAUGAACAGGCAAAAUGGAAUGGAGACACGGUCCAUACUCCUACGUGAGUCAGCAGUGGGGAAGAUUGCACAAUGGGGGAUAGCCUGAUGCAGCCAUUCCGCGUGUGUGAAGAAGGCCUUCGGGUUGUAAAGCACUUUCAGCGAGGAGGCGUUACUCGCAGAAGAAGCACCGGCUAACUCCGUGCCAGCCGCCGCGGUAAUAC